Molecule: ribosomal RNA, 619 nt
Filed under: Cheimonophyllum sp. TENN61455
Lineage: Eukaryota; Fungi; Basidiomycota; Agaricomycetes; Agaricales; Cyphellaceae
Description: eukaryotic LSU rRNA
Rfam family: 5.8S ribosomal RNA (bases 253-406)
Source: RNAcentral
GCGGAAGGAUCAUUAUUGAAUGUAAUUCAAAGAGUUGUAGCUGGCACUUCGGUGCAUGUGCACACUUUUUGUUACUACUUUUCCACCUGUGAACCCUUUGUAGACCAUGAACAAACCUCAUCUGAAAAUGAUGGAUUGAAGGCUUUGCUUUUUAACUAAGGCUUCCUUUGCAGUUCAUUGUCUAUGUUUUUACAUACCCUUACAAGUUAAUGAAUGUCAUUUACUGGUCUUUUGACCUUUAAAAAACUAUACAACUUUCAGCAACGGAUCUCUUGGCUCUCGCAUCGAUGAAGAACGCAGCGAAAUGCGAUAAGUAAUGUGAAUUGCAGAAUUCAGUGAAUCAUCGAAUCUUUGAACGCACCUUGCGCUCCUUGGUAUUCCGAGGAGCAUGCCUGUUUGAGUGUCAUUAAAUUCUCAACCUUACCACUUUAUUGUGAAUAAGGCUUGGAUGUGGGGGUUUGUYGGUCUUUCAUUAGAUCGGCUCCUCUUAAAUACAUUAGUGAUAACUUGUAGUUGUCCUAUGGUGUGAUAAUUAUCUACGCCUUGUGCAUGACUACUUUUAAUGGUUGUUGCUUAUAACUGUCUGUUACAAGACAACUUCUUGACUUUUGACCUCAAA